This 580-nucleotide non-coding RNA is filed under the name Myotis davidii. RNAcentral describes it as "Eukaryotic large subunit ribosomal RNA". It matches the Rfam family "Eukaryotic large subunit ribosomal RNA", at positions 2398 to 2970 of the family's 3401-position model. Lineage: Eukaryota; Metazoa; Chordata; Mammalia; Chiroptera; Vespertilionidae. The record is from Rfam by way of RNAcentral.
CGGGGAAAAAAGACCCUGUUGAGCUCGACUCUAGCCUGGCAUGGUGAAGAGACAUGAGAGGUGUAGAAUGAGUGGGAGGCCCCACGAGGGGGUGGGGAGGGGGGCACGCCGGCCUUGUGGGCCACCGGUGAAAUACCACUACUCUGAUCAGUUUUUCACUGACCCGUGAGGCGGGGGGGUCAGGGGGUGGGGGAAGGUGGAGCCCCAAGGGGCUCUCACUUCUGGCGCCAAGCACCCGGCGGCUGCGUGCCAGCUGGGCGCAACCCGCUCCGGGGACAGUGCCAGGUGGGGAGUUUGACUGGGGCGGUACACCUGUCAAACAGUAACACAGGUGUCCUAGGUGAGCUCAGGGAGGACAGAAACCUCCCAUGGAGCAGAAGGGCAAAAGCUCGCUUGACCUUAAUUUUCAGUAUGAAUACAGACCUUGAAAGCAGGGCUUCACGAUCCUUCUGACCUUCUGGGUUUUAAGCAGGUGUCAGAAAAGUUACCACAGGAAUAACUGGCUUGUGGUGGCCAAGCGUUCAUAGCGACGCCACUUUUUGAUCCUUCCUAGUCAAUCUAUAAAAGUGGCUUCAGCUCA